RNAcentral lists this ribosomal RNA (323 nucleotides) under uncultured bacterium. RNAcentral describes it as "bacterial SSU rRNA". It matches the Rfam family "Bacterial small subunit ribosomal RNA", at positions 28 to 357 of the family's 1533-position model. The record is from RNAcentral.
GAUGAACGCUAGCGGGAGGCCUAACACAUGCAAGCCGAGCGGUAUAGAAUCUUCGGAUUUUAGAGAGCGGCGUACGGUGCGGAACACGUGUGCAACUUACCUUUAUCUGGAGGAUAGCCUUUCGAAGGAAGAUUAAUACUCCAUAAUAUAUUGAUUGGCAUCAAUUAAUAUUGAAAGCUCCGGCGGAUAGAGAUGGGCACGCGCAAGAUUAGUUAGUGGUGAGGUAACGGCUCACCAAGACGAUGAUCUUUAGGGGCCUGAGAGGUGAGUCCCCCACACUGGUACUGAGACACGGACCAGACUCCUACGGGAGGCAGCAGUGA